This 889-nucleotide ribosomal RNA is filed under the name uncultured euryarchaeote. RNAcentral's name for it is "bacterial SSU rRNA". It matches the Rfam family "Archaeal small subunit ribosomal RNA", at positions 21 to 904 of the family's 1478-position model. Lineage: Archaea; Methanobacteriati; Methanobacteriota. The record is from RNAcentral.
GGUCACUGCUAUUGGGGUUCGGCUAAGCCAUGCGAGCGGAGGGCGCGGUCGCAAGAUCGUGGCCCCGCACACGGCUCAGUAACACGUAGUCAACCUACCCUUGGGACGGGGACAACGCCGGGAAACUGGCGAUAAUCCCCGAUAGGUGAGGGAUGCUGGGAUGCUUCUUCGCUCAAAGCUCCGGCGCCCGAGGAUGGGACUGCGGCCUAUCAGGCUGUUGGUGGUGUGACGGACCACCAACCUACGACGGGUACGGGCGAUGGGAGUCGGAGCCUGGAGAUGGGGACUGAGACAAGGCCCCAGGCCCUACGGGGCGCAGCAGGCGCGAAAACUCCGCAAUGCGCGCAAGCGUGACGGGGGAACCCCAAGUGCCGUUGGCUUUUGAUCGACGGCUUUUCGGAAGUCCAAUAAGCUUCCGGAAUAAGGGCUGGGUAAGACUGGUGCCAGCCGCCGCGGUAACACCAGCAGCCCAAGUGGUGGCCGCGAUAUUGGGCCUAAAGCGCUCGUAGCCGGAUCAGCAAGUCCUUUGUGAAAUCGGACCGCCCAACGGUUCGGCGUGCAAAGGAUACUGUUGGUCUUGAGACCGGGAGAGGUCGGAGGUACUCUUGGGGUAGCGGUGAAAUGCUGUAAUCCUGGGGGGACCACCAGUGGCGAAGGCGUCCGACCAGAACGGAUCUGACGGUGAGGGGCGAAGGCUAGGGGAGCGAACGGGAUUAGAUACCCCGGUAGUCCUAGCUGUAAAGCAUGCGGGCCAGGUGUCUAGCGCUCCUUGAGGGCGCUAUGUGCCGGAGGGAAGCCGUUAAGCCCGCCGCCUGGGAAGUACGGCCGCAAGGCUGAAACUUAAAGAAAUUGGCGGGGGAGCACCACAAGGGGUGGAACCUGCGGUUCA